This 499-nucleotide ribosomal RNA is filed under the name uncultured bacterium. RNAcentral describes it as "bacterial SSU rRNA". It matches the Rfam family "Bacterial small subunit ribosomal RNA", at positions 15 to 518 of the family's 1533-position model. The record is from RNAcentral.
GAUUCUGGCUCAGGACGAACGCUGGCGGCGUGCCUAACACAUGCAAGUCGAACGGGACUGGGGGCAACUCCAGUUCAGUGGCGGACGGGUGCGUAACACGUGAGGAACAUGACUUUCGGUGGGGGAUAGCCGGCCCAACGGCCGGGUAAUACCGCGUACGACCUCUCGGGGACAUCCCCGGUUGGUGAAAGCAGCAAUGCGCCGAAAGAGUGCCUCGCGGCCUAUCAGCUAGUUGGUGGGGUAAUGGCCCACCAAGGCGACGACGGGUAGCUGGUCUGAGAGGAUGGCCAGCCACAUUGGGACUGAGACACGGCCCAGACUCCUACGGGAGGCAGCAGUGGGGAAUAUUGCGCAAUGGGCGAAAGCCUGACGCAGCCGACGCCGCGUGUGGGAUGACGGCCUUCGGGUUGUAAACCACUGUCGGGAGGGACGAAUGCCCCGCAAGGGGAGUGACGGUACCUCCAAAGGAAGCACCGGCUAACUCCGUGCCAGCAGCCGC